UAUGGCCAUUUCAUGUUGAAACACUGGUUACUGUACGAUUACCAAAGUUAAGCAACACUGAGCCAGGUCAGUACCUAGAUGGGUGACUCCUUUGGAAUACCAGGUGUUGUAA
Molecule: non-coding RNA, 112 nt
Organism: Acanthosepion pharaonis
Lineage: Eukaryota; Metazoa; Mollusca; Cephalopoda; Sepiida; Sepiidae
Source: the annotation of a GenBank genome assembly